UUUCCGUAGGUGAACCUGCCGAAGGAUCAUU
Molecule: ribosomal RNA, 31 nt
Filed under: Paratlanticus ussuriensis
Lineage: Eukaryota; Metazoa; Arthropoda; Insecta; Orthoptera; Tettigoniidae
Description: partial 18S ribosomal RNA
Source: RNAcentral